This 1337-nucleotide ribosomal RNA is filed under the name Rena humilis (western threadsnake). RNAcentral's name for it is "partial 16S ribosomal RNA". It matches the Rfam family "Bacterial large subunit ribosomal RNA", at positions 436 to 2594 of the family's 2925-position model. Lineage: Eukaryota; Metazoa; Chordata; Lepidosauria; Squamata; Leptotyphlopidae. The record is from RNAcentral.
GCCAAAAACCUAGUUUGCCCGCCCACACCAACCCACAUCCCCACCCUUUAAACCAAAACAUUUGACACGAUAAGUAGACGAGAUCGAACAUCCACACAACACAAUAGAGAUAGUACCGCAAGGGAAAGACGAAACAAACCACUUAAGCCACAAAAAGCAAAGAUAAAACCUUGUACCUUUCGCAUCAUGGUUUAGCGAGACCCACCCCCGGCAAAACGAACGCCAACCGGAACCCCCGAAACCAAGUGAGCUACCCCCAAGCAGCUAAACUGAGCCUAUCCCCCUCUGUAGCAAAAGAGCGGAGAGACUUUGGGGUAGAAGUGAAAAGCCUAUCGAACUUGGCAAUAGCUGGCUGCUCGAAACGAAUCUAAGUUCAACCCUGGCCACACAACAUUAUUCCAUCAAACAGCCAGGGAAACUCAUUAGAGGAACAGCCCUAAUGAAACGGGAUACAACCCGAACCUGAAAGGAACAAAUUUUAAACCACAAACCUGUAGGCCUUAAAGCAGCCCCCAUAAAAAAUAGCGUCAAAGCACCACCCCACCAUAAUCCCAAAAACCUUUCACACCUUCAGUAUAUCACCAAGAGCAACACUAUAAACAUAGAAAAACCAAUGCUAAAACUACUAACAAGAACCACUUCUCAAGACACCACCUCCAAUCAGAAACACCACCACUGAUAGUUAUCAGACACGGGGUAACCCAAUCCACAUAACCCCAAACAAAACUGUGACCCCAACACAGGAGUGUCUACCCAACGAAAGAUGAAAAGCAAAAAAAGGAACUCGGCAACCACUGACUUCAACUGUUUACCAAAAACAUAGCCUUUAGCCAAAACAAGUAUUAAAGGUGACGCCUGCCCAGUGAGGACAACACCCUUUAACGGCCGCGGUACCCUAACCGUGCAAAGGUAGCAUAAUCACUUGUCCACUAAUUAUGGACUAGAAUGAAAGGCUGCAUGAAAGUCAAACUGUCUCUUUAAGCCCAUCAGUGAAACUGAUCUUACAGUCCAAAAGCUGUAAUAAACACAUAAGACGAGAAGACCCUGUGAAACUUCAAGAAACCCCCGCACCCCAAAAACUCGGGGGUACUUUAGGUUGGGGCAACCUUGGAAACAAACAAAACUUCCAAACAAACGGGACUAAACCCACCAAUAGGCCAACACGCCUCGCAUACGACCCAGUAAAACUGACAAAUGAACCAAGCUACUCCAGGGAUAACAGCGCCAUCUUCUUCAAGAGCCCAUAUCAAAAAGAAGGUUUACGACCUCGAUGUUGGAUCAGGACACCCAAGUGGCGCAGCCACUACUAAAGGUUCGUUUGUUCAACGAUUAACAGU